RNAcentral lists this unclassified non-coding RNA (305 nucleotides) under plant metagenome. RNAcentral describes it as "partial contains 5.8S ribosomal RNA, internal transcribed spacer 2, and large subunit ribosomal RNA". The stretch from base 1 to 105 matches the Rfam family "5.8S ribosomal RNA", at positions 50 to 154 of the family's 154-position model. The record is from RNAcentral.
GAAAUGCGAUAAGUAGUGUGAAUUGCAGAAUUCAGUGUAUCAUCGAAUCUUUGAACGCACAUUGCGCCCUUUGGUAUUCCAAAGGGCAUGCCUGUUCGAGCGUCAUUUGUACCCUCAAGCUUUGCUUGGUGUUGGGCGUCUUGUCUCCAGUUCGCUGGAGACUCGCCUUAAAGUAAUUGGCAGCCGGCCUACUGGUUUCGGAGCGCAGCACAAGUCGCGCUCUCUUCCAGCCAAGGUCAGCAUCCACAAAGCCUUUUUUCAACUUUUGACCUCGGAUCAGGUAGGGAUACCCGCUGAACUUAAGC